GCCCAGACAGCAAGCCAACAUUGAAUAAACAUUGUUUUUCCAUCUGAAUCAUCAUUAUGGUUGAUAUUGAAAUUUCAAUGCAAAAUAAAUGUUGAAUCACCAUUAUCAUAUCGAUGAAAACCUGAUGUUAUUAAUGUUGAUGGCAACAAUAUUGGAACAACAUUGAUCCAUAGUUAUCUUUAUGAUUGAUUAAGCAUUGAUAUUUGGUUACCGGGUGAUCCCUGAAUGUGUUGAAAAGUAAUUGAUUUAUAGUGGACAGAGAAAGGAUGCGGUUGUUGAAAAGUCAUCGAAAUAUAGUUGACCGGGAAAUAUGAUUGAAAAUGCAUCGAAAUAUAGUUGACCGGGAAAUAUGAUAGAAAGUGCAUCGAAAUAUAGUUGACCAGGAAAUAUGAUAGAAAGUGCAUCGAAAUAUAGUUGACCAGGAAAUAUGAUAGAAAAUGCAUCGAAAUAUAGUUGACCGGGAAAUAUGAUUGAAAAUGCAUCGAAAUAUAGUUGACCGGGAAAUAUGAUAGAAAGUGCAUCGAAAUAUAGUUGACCAGGAAAUAUGAUAGAAAAUGCAUCGAAAUAUAGUUGACCGGGAAAUAUGAUUGAAAAUCCAUCGAUUUUUGGUUGACCGGGAGAUCAACGGGUGGUAUACCCAACGUACUGCACCGGACACAGCUCAUUUCUGGACCCUUGGCACAUGCGUACAGGUAAGCUUGCUUAAUGUUCGAUAUGAACCCAGACAGCACAGGCACGCGGUGUGUUUUUAUACAGUCUGUGGGCAGCUGAAGAGACUGGCUCAUUUUCAAAUUAUGUUACCGUUAACUUGUUUAGACAACGGUCACGGUAAAUUAAUGUUAAAGCCUUUCGUGUCCAGCAGUUUCUCAGACGGAAAAUGUAAAAGCGGUUUAUUAAAGAGAAGUCCUGACUCCUUUAUCGUCUUGUUUUUCACUCUUUUACAGGCUUCCAGAAAGAAUCCGUCUCUAUAGUGAGUGAUUAUUGAAUGAGGCUGUACAUUAUAAAUGUAAUGUUUUAACUCGAGAUGUUUGUUUGUGUGAAUGCUGUGUGUGCGGUGAGUUCUGGGCGAGCGGGGAGCAGAGUUGCCAUGGAAACGGCGGGGCGUCAACAAAAAAAAACGUUACUGGCAAGCAGUAAUCUCCAUCUCUUGCUGCGGUUUACGCUGUUUUAGGUAAGUUUAGUCGCUAAAAUCACACAAAUAUGAUAUACAAAUGUUUCUGACAAGUUUCUUACUUGUUAUUGACAUGUUUCAAUUAAAUUUAUUUUAUAGAAAUGGUUUAGUGUCUUCGAAAAAGUCCGUUAGCAUCUAUCUUAGCAGUUUUCAGGUAAUGUUAGGCUAAUUUUGAGCUCUUGUUGAUGAAACUCUGGGCUUUUCAUCAAAUCGUCGUGUGUGUGAGAUAUUUUGAUGGCUCUGUGAAUGUUUUGCUGGUUAUUUGUCAUUGUUUUUUUUUUUUUAGAAAAGGCUGAUUUACUGAAUCGAUGACGUCACUUACACUGAGAGUGUAACGUUAAUCGGCUGAAAACAAGUUCACAUGAGUUUUGAUAUUUCAUGAUAAACAGAUAUUAAUACAAAUUGUUCUGUGAUUUCAGGAGGACAGAAAGAAACUAUACAGAACAAAGUGAAACUCCAAGAUUUUUGAAAAGAAAAUUGGUGAAAUAUAUUCUGAAAAAGGCAUAUUAAUGUAUUUCUUGAGCUUCUUCAGUAAAUCUGUAUUUCUAAGUCAGUAUCUCCCUUCAGAAAUGUGGCUGAAGGGAGAUACUGACUUAGAAAUACAGGUGAACUCAUGAAAAGAAGCUCAUGAAAUACUCAUGAAAGAAGCUCAUGAAAUACAUUAAUAUGCCUUUUUCAGAAUAUAUUUCACCAAAUUUAAGAAGUCCCUGACAUCAAAACAUUGCUUGUUUUGUUCCUGGACUCUUCAGUGAUGAUGAGCAGAGUCUGAGUGAACCUGCUGUCAGACAAUCACUAUUGCACACCAAAUGCUCUUACUCAGCAGAUGGGGACAGCUACCAUCACCGAAUUUUCACCCAAAAGUGGCUGCGCUAUUCGCCAGACCGGGCAGGAGGGACUGGACGACAACUUAUGCAGGCAUCAGAUGACAAUGAAGUGUAAAUAAAGAGUAGA
This is a long non-coding RNA of Carassius gibelio (silver crucian carp), 2122 nucleotides long. RefSeq lists it as uncharacterized. NCBI's taxonomy places the organism in Eukaryota, Metazoa, Chordata, Actinopteri, Cypriniformes, Cyprinidae. The transcript is spliced from 4 exons. The record is from RefSeq and is a predicted model, not a curated record.